This 113-nucleotide ribosomal RNA is filed under the name Candidimonas sp. The record is from RNAcentral. Lineage: Bacteria; Pseudomonadati; Pseudomonadota; Betaproteobacteria; Burkholderiales; Alcaligenaceae.
CUUGACGACCAUAGCAAGGUGGCCCCACGCCUUCCCAUCCCGAACAGGACCGUGAAACGCCUUCGCGCCGAUGAUAGUGGACGCUCGUCCGUGAAAGUAGGUCAUCGUCAGGC